UACGUAGGGUGCGAGCGUUGUCCGGAAUUAUUGGGCGUAAAGGGCUCGUAGGCGGUUUGUCACGUCGGGAGUGAAAACUCGGGGCUUAACCCCGGGCCUGCAGUGGGUACGGGCAGACUAGAGUGCGGUAGGGGAGACUGGAAUUCCUGGUGUAGCGGUGAAAUGCGCAGAUAUCAGGAGGAACACCGGUGGCGAAGGCGGGUCUCUGGGCCGUAACUGACGCUGGAGGAGCGAAAGCGUGGGGAGCGAACAGG
Molecule: ribosomal RNA, 254 nt
Filed under: uncultured bacterium
Lineage: Bacteria
Description: partial 16S ribosomal RNA
Rfam family: Bacterial small subunit ribosomal RNA
Source: RNAcentral